UCCCGUAAACAAGUGCAGCCCUCAGCUCCCAGGAGGGCCCGGGAGCAAAUGUGCACGUCUCUGCCUCUUUCCCGGCAGCUGUUCGCGGAGGCCGCAGCCUGCCAUCCCAGCCGGCCUCCCCAGCCCCCAGCUCCAGCCCCAGGAAGUGGAGCUGCUGAGAACCUCUCCUCCAGUCGCGCCUCCUGCGGAGAGUGUCCUCCGCGAGAGCAUUUCCUGGCCUAAUUAAGCUGGGUAAUGAGUAGCUAAGAGGAGGGGAUAAAAGCCCUAGGCGGCUUAAAGCUGGGACAGUUUAUGACGGGGGCGUCUGCAGCUGGUGACAUUCCUAGGAAAGUUAUUUCUCAUAACCCUGGGAAGCUGCAUGCUGUUUCCUCAGCAGAGUGAGCCCGAAGCUGUCCUGGAGUGGACGGAGAUCUGGCAGCCUGACGCCUGACCCAGAGAGGGCACGCCUGAGCUGCCCACCGCAGCAAGGACAGCCACAUUCUUGGGGGAGGGUCCCUGGAGUUCAGACGUGAGCGGAUCAUACCAAGAAGGAAGAGAGCAGGCCUGGAAGCUUCGAUCUGUGACCCUGCCCACCUUCUGACUGGGUGGGCAGGCCAGGGCAGCCACUCGCUCUGCAUGUGUAAUCCUGGUUAGAAAGAGGGGAAAAGAUCUUGUAAUUUCCCAGGACACAGCCAACUGAAACCUGAUACUCUUGUCAAGGGCGUCCUUUCACUGAGAGGAAUAGAGAGAAAGGGGGAGAGAGAGAAAGAGAAAGAAAGAAGCAGGAAGGGAGAGAGUAUGUGAGAGGCCACUUGGAUCCCAGGACACCAUGAGUACUGUGAGUGUCACCUGGCCAGUCCUUGGCCUGAGCCUGACUCUCGGUAAGUGGCCAGUCCAUCCAAUGGGGAGCGCAGCAGUGGCGGCAGCUUCUAGAGACCUGCCUGCCCUGUCCAGCUCUGCUCACCGGGAGCCUCUGCCCCUUCCCUGGGAGGCUGCGUGCUCCUCCCCCUCCCCUGCCUUUUGUGUAAAGGGGCCAGAUAAUGCUGUUGAGAAAACUGUGCGCAAAGACCUUCAAGCUGGGCCAAUAGGAAGCAGUUCUUUCCUUCUUUCCUUCAGCAGAUAUUCAUUGACUACCAGGAUGAAUGAAAGCGAUGCCACUCUAUGUUCGAAUGUGUGAUCAGAGCGGAAAUGAUUCUAGCCUGACUUGAACUGGGUAGGGUGGUUCAUCUUUGUUCAAUUGCAAGGAAUUGCAGGUGCUCAUUUGACUAAAGCCACAGAAAUUUGGGGAGGCUGCUUUGUGACCAGCGCUGUGUAGGUGCAAUUCUAGAGGACACAGGCAUGUAUGACAAAGUAUCUGUCCUUGAGGGACAGUUUGCCAUCUGGCUGGAGCAACAAGGCUUUCAGCCAAAACAAUUAGUGAACAGUGUACACAGAAGUCCAGUGAAGGGCCAGAAUGUGCAAUGCAGCCAGGGAGUGGCUGGAGGUCAGUCCUGGUGUACUCUGGUGACACAGCCUCACUGUCCUCUGAGUCAGCAGCUCACUGAGGGCCCGCAGUGUCCAGUACUGCCACGAGCAAGACAGACUGUGCUGCUGCCUGGUGUGGCUUACCCCAAGGGUCUGACUUCCUUCUUUUCUGUACAUGUCUGCAUUUUACAGUUCAUACAUUCAUUCAUUCAAACACCAUCUGUAUUCAAUGUAUUCAAAAAAGAUUCAAGGCAGUUUAUAACUAAUGGCACGAGGACCAUAAACCGCAGAUUAAAGGCUGAGGUCCAAGCUGCGAAGGAAGCCUGGGCAAGAAAAUAAUUACACCAGAAAACCUGGAUUCAAGGAAGUGCUGCAACAUUUGAACCUAAAAACUGGCUCUGAGCUUCCUAGUGAUUAGGUUAAAAAGGGAACUAGUGUGUCUAAUAAAAAGAAGGCAUUUUCUUGU
This is a long non-coding RNA of Lemur catta (Ring-tailed lemur), 1909 nucleotides long. RefSeq lists it as uncharacterized. The record is from RefSeq and is a predicted model, not a curated record. The transcript has 2 exons. NCBI's taxonomy places the organism in Eukaryota, Metazoa, Chordata, Mammalia, Primates, Lemuridae.